AUGUAAUGCUUACAACAUAGUGCUAAUACAUUGGAUCCCAUUAGAACUCUGCAGUUAAGCACGCUCGAGCUAGAGUAGUACUGGGAUGAGUGAUCGCCUAGGAAGUCCUAGUGUUUUACAUG
Picea glauca (white spruce) is the source of this 122-nucleotide non-coding RNA. NCBI's taxonomy places the organism in Eukaryota, Viridiplantae, Streptophyta, Pinopsida, Pinales, Pinaceae. The record is from Rfam.